This 527-nucleotide small RNA is filed under the name Pongo abelii (Sumatran orangutan). RNAcentral's name for it is "processed transcript". The record is from RNAcentral. Lineage: Eukaryota; Metazoa; Chordata; Mammalia; Primates; Hominidae.
GGUAGCGAGGACGCUUAGGCAGGGCCUGCGCCCAGUUUAGAGGCCAAUGCUUCUCCCGUCCUCUGCAUGGCACCCAAGAAGGAUAAAGGAGGGACUGUGAACACCAGUUCUAAGAUAUGGGAACCCUCGCUCAUAGCUGCACAGUUCAAUCAGAACGAUUGGCAGGCCUCCAUUGUUUUUGUGGUUGGGAACCAGAUUGAAGAUGAUCUUCUCAUCCAAGCCCUUACCGUGGCUGUCCAGGUCCCUCAGCGUAAACUCUUCAGUAUGGUAUCGUGGCAAGACAUUCUCCAGCAGAUUAAUGAAAUAAAUACACUUGUUGGAUCCGCUUCAUCUAAAAAGGCAAAAAAACCUGUAGGAGGUAAUGCUCCUUUGUAUUAUGAGGUAAGUGAACGUGUUUAUAGAAGAGAUUUUUGUGUUUUUAGAAAAAAGAAUUGAAGUAAUAAUUUGAUAGCCAUUUUUAAAUUUCAUUCUUUGAAAAUAAAUGCCUGCUCCUCAUUGGAGAUAUUUGUUCCCGAUGGUGAACACAC